Molecule: long non-coding RNA, 341 nt
Organism: Rattus norvegicus (Norway rat)
Lineage: Eukaryota; Metazoa; Chordata; Mammalia; Rodentia; Muridae
Source: Ensembl
CUUACUCUAAAGUUAGCACCACUCUUCCUUUGCCCUGAUUGAUUGUACAAUGUGGACUAGUGUUGGACAGGACUAACCUCCAAAACAAACAACUGCCAUCUUUAGGAGUAUAAACCUGCUUCCCUGCAAAAGAUUAAUACAGCUGGGCUUGUUGAUUGAUGGCGUUCCCUCAUUGAAAUGAGCAAAUGGAUCCUCAAAGAAGCUUUACAGCUGAUCCAGUAGUACAAUCAACAAGAGGGAGUGGAAGCGUCUCCCCCUGCUUUGUCUCUUUCCCAUGCCUCUGCCACCUUGGUGCAAUGAUCUAGCUGCUUGGCAGGAAGCACAGUUCCUGAGGCAUGUCA